UUAAAAGAAGCUAAAGUUGGAAGCAUCUCACUGUUAAUGGGAUUUAGAGGUUUACCUCCUUUUAAG
This 66-nucleotide transfer RNA is filed under the name Polyphemus pediculus. Its description in RNAcentral is "tRNA-Asn". The record is from RNAcentral. Lineage: Eukaryota; Metazoa; Arthropoda; Branchiopoda; Diplostraca; Polyphemidae.